GUGAGCAAUGCAUGAGAAUGAAAUAACGGUUCGUAAUUGUGUAGCCUAAUUUGUCGAGGAUUCUAAUAUUAUUAGUGAUCUUUAACCUUAAUUAUGCGGGGUUGUCUUGUUCACACGUCACUUAACUUUGCACGCGCUGUUACCGAUAGCAGUUUUCAGGAAAGAAAAAUGUUUAUUUAAAAAGUGCAGGUUAAAACAGUGCGUUUAAGGCGAUAAUGCAACUUGCAGCUGGUAGCUUUAAUUUCUGUAUUCGGAAUAGUUGCAGACAUGCUUUUUCGUGAUUUAUUCGCUCGACUGCACCCGCACAAUGAAAUUUGCCAAUGGGCGAAUGGAUAAUGUCGGAGCAACCCGAGGCCAUGAAUGAUAGCUGUACUUCUCAAGGACAGAAUAGAUAAGUAUCAAAGAAAUCGCAGUUAAGGAGGUAGUGGUGUUCGGUGCCAACCUGACCCGAAUUACAUAGCCCGCAGACUCUAUCUUCAAAUGGGGUUCCGUCGUAUCGGCCUGUCUCGACUGGAAACCAGUGGUUAGCAGUCCUGAAUUGGAAUAGGGAAGGUGCUGGUGGAUGCUUGAUGGAAGACUGAUUGCAGCUCAUCAGUUAUGUGCUCUAUGGUCUGCUGCGAUUUGGGGUUGGAUGAGGGUUCUGUCCCCCCACUGGCCUAAUGGCUAUGGUUGCUGUCUGCUGUGGUCCUACUAUGGUUAUUGGACUGUGGAGUGUCCCUAGAGGGCACACGGUUAUCAGUACGCGCAGAAUCCCAGGGGCGUUGGAUGCUGGGCACAGAUGACUGGGUGUUCAGUGGAGUUCUGGGAGAUACUGGGGGAUGAUUACGAGCAUGCGCUUUUGAAGAAUUAGGAGAAGCAGACUGCGAGCGUCUUGAUACGUGUUCGGAAUUGGGAGUUGGAGUAUUGGGAGUGAUGACCACGGUUGUUUUCCUCUGGUUAGCAGAGGUUGUGAUAGGCUCUGGCGGGAUAUUGUUCCUGGCGCUUUGGGGAGGAGGGACACUGUGUGCCUGGUUGGACCGUGGUACUUCGGGGAUCGUGGCAGUUGGAGUAAUGGGGGUGGCGACCGCAGUUGU
Long non-coding RNA from Dreissena polymorpha, 1073 nucleotides. RefSeq lists it as uncharacterized. The transcript is spliced from 4 exons. Lineage: Eukaryota; Metazoa; Mollusca; Bivalvia; Myida; Dreissenidae. The record is from RefSeq and is a predicted model, not a curated record.